This 440-nucleotide ribosomal RNA is filed under the name uncultured bacterium. Its description in RNAcentral is "partial 16S ribosomal RNA". It matches the Rfam family "Bacterial small subunit ribosomal RNA", at positions 339 to 795 of the family's 1533-position model. The record is from RNAcentral.
CUACGGGGUGCUCCAGUGAGGAAUAUUGCACAAUGGGGGGAACCCUGAUGCAGCAACGCCGCGUGGAGGAUGACGCAUUUCGGUGUGUAAACUCCUUUUAUAUGUCAAGAAGAUGACGGUAGCAUAUGAAUAAGCACCGGCUAACUCCGUGCCAGCAGCCGCGGUGAAUACGGAGGGUGCAAGCGUUACUCGGAAUCACUGGGCGUAAAGGACGCGUAGGCGGGUUGGAAAGUCAGGUGUGAAAUCCUACAGCUUAGCUGUAGAACUGCACUUGAAACUUCUAAUCUAGAGUAUGGGAGGGGGAGAUGGAAUUAGUGGUGUAGGGGUAAAAUCCGUAGAUAUCACUAGGAAUACCUAAAGCGAAGGCGAUCUCCUGGAACAUUACUGACGCUAAGGCGUGAAAGCGUGGGGAGCAAACAGGAUUAGAUACCCCUGUAGUC